Molecule: ribosomal RNA, 713 nt
Filed under: uncultured bacterium
Lineage: Bacteria
Description: partial 16S ribosomal RNA
Rfam family: Bacterial small subunit ribosomal RNA
Source: RNAcentral
CAUGUGUAGCGGUGAAAUGNGUAGAUAUAUGGAGGAACACCAGUGGCGAAAGCGGCUCUNUGGUCUGUCACUGACGCUGAGNCACGAAAGCGUGGGUAGCGAACAGGAUUAGAUACCNUGGUAGUCCACGCCGUAAACGAUGAGUGCUAGGUGUUAGGCCCUUUCCGGGGCUUAGUGCCGGAGCUAACGCAAUAAGCACUCCGCCUGGGGAGUACGACCGCAAGGUUGAAACUCAAAGGAAUUGACGGGGGCCCGCACAAGCGGUGGAGCAUGUGGUUUAAUUCGAAGCAACGCGAAGAACCUUACCAGGUCUUGACAUCCCGAUGCUAUUCUUAGAGAUAGGAAGUUACUUCGGUACAUCGGUGACAGGUGGUGCAUGGUUGUCGUCAGCUCGUGUCGUGAGAUGUUGGGUNNNNNNNNNNNNNCGAGCGCAACCCUUAUUGUUAGUUGCCAUCAUUAAGUUGGGCACUCUAGCGAGACUGCCGGUAAUAAACCGGAGGAAGGUGGGGAUGACGUCAAAUCAUCAUGCCCCUUAUGACCUGGGCUACACACGUGCUACAAUGGUCGGUACAACGAGUUGCGAGCCGGUGACGGCAAGCUAAUCUCUGAAAGCCGAUCUCAGUUCGGAUUGGAGGCUGCAACUCGCCUCCAUGAAGUCGGAAUCGCUAGUAAUCGCGGAUCAGCGCGCCGCGGUGAAUACNUCCCCGGGCCUU